Molecule: non-coding RNA, 107 nt
Filed under: bovine gut metagenome
Description: TPP riboswitch (THI element)
Rfam family: TPP riboswitch aptamer (THI element)
About the family: Vitamin B(1) in its active form thiamin pyrophosphate (TPP) is an essential coenzyme that is synthesised by coupling of pyrimidine and thiazole moieties in bacteria. The previously detected thiamin-regulatory element, thi box was extended, resulting in a new, highly conserved RNA secondary structure, the THI element, which is widely distributed in eubacteria and also occurs in some archaea. Analysis of operon structures identified a large number of new candidate thiamin-regulated genes, mostly transporters, in various prokaryotic organisms.
Source: RNAcentral
AUAGGGGUGCGCACAAAUGCUUGAUUGCGAGGAUGCUUGAUGCAUAGUGUGCUGAGAACAUACCCUUUAAACUUGAUCCGGAUAAUGCCGGCGUAAGGAAUGAAAUU